GACGAACGCUGGCGGCGUGCUUAACACAUGCAAGUCGAACGGAAAGGCCCUGCUUGCAGGGUACUCGAGUGGCGAACGGGUGAGUAACACGUGGGUGAUCUGCCCUGCACUUCGGGAUAAGCCUGGGAAACUGGGUCUAAUACCGGACAGGAGCCAUUUUUAGUGUGAUGGUUGGAAAGUUUUUUCGGUGUAGGAUGAGCUCGCGGCCUAUCAGCUUGUUGGUGGGGUAAUGGCCUACCAAGGCGGCGACGGGUAGCCGGCCUGAGAGGGUGGACGGCCACAUUGGGACUGAGAGACGGCCCAGGCACCGACGGGAGGCAGCAGGGGGGAAGAUUGCACAAGGGGCGCAAGCCGGAUGCAGCGACGCCGCGGGGGGGAUGACGGCCUUCGGGUUGUAAACUCAUUUCGCUAGGGACGAAGCUUUUUGUGACGGUACCUAGAUAAGAAGCACCGGCUAACUACGUG
RNAcentral lists this ribosomal RNA (465 nucleotides) under uncultured bacterium. RNAcentral's name for it is "partial 16S ribosomal RNA". It matches the Rfam family "Bacterial small subunit ribosomal RNA", at positions 28 to 507 of the family's 1533-position model. The record is from RNAcentral.